Molecule: non-coding RNA, 45 nt
Filed under: Schistosoma bovis
Lineage: Eukaryota; Metazoa; Platyhelminthes; Trematoda; Strigeidida; Schistosomatidae
Also listed under: 1 other name
Source: RNAcentral
AUCCAGCUGACAAGUCUCAACUAAGACGAAACACAUGUCCUGGAU